RNAcentral lists this microRNA precursor (121 nucleotides) under Macleaya cordata. RNAcentral describes it as "MIR168 microRNA precursor family". It matches the Rfam family "MIR168 microRNA precursor family". Lineage: Eukaryota; Viridiplantae; Streptophyta; Magnoliopsida; Ranunculales; Papaveraceae. The record is from Rfam by way of RNAcentral.
GUUGUUGUUGUAUCUAGUUCGCUUGGUGCAGGUCGGGAACGCUUCGCACUGCGUUUUGUAAUCGGUGAGCACGCGAAUCGGAUCCCGCCUUGCAUCAACUGAAUCGGAUACGGCAGUGAAG